GACAACGUGCCAGAGUGGUUAAUGGGUAUGACUCGAACUUCUCUGCAAUAGAUAUCAUAUGCCUUCGGGCGCGCAGGUUCGAAUCCUGCCGUUGUCG
Didymella exigua CBS 183.55 is the source of this 97-nucleotide non-coding RNA. The record is from the annotation of a RefSeq genome assembly. NCBI's taxonomy places the organism in Eukaryota, Fungi, Ascomycota, Dothideomycetes, Pleosporales, Didymellaceae.